CUACGUGCCAGCAGCCGCGGUAAUACGUAGGUGGCAAGCGUUGUCCGGAAUUAUUGGGCGUAAAGCGCGCGCAGGCGGAUUGGUCAGUCUGUCUUAAAAGUUCGGGGCUUAACCCCGUGAUGGGAUGGAAACUGCCAAUCUAGAGUAUCGAAGAGGAAAGUGGAAUUCCUAGUGUAGCGGUGAAAUGCGUAGAUAUUAGGAAGAACACCAGUGGCGAAGGCGACUUUCUGGACGAAAACUGACGCUGAGGCGCGAAAGCCAGGGGAGCGAACGGGAUUAGAUACCCCGGUAGUCCUGGCCGUAAACGAUGGGUACUAGGUGUAGGAGGUAUCGACCCCUUCUGUGCCGGAGUUAACGCAAUAAGUACCCCGCCUGGGGAGUACGACCGCAAGGUUGAAACUCAAAGGAAUUGACGGGGGCCCGCACAAGCGGUGGAGUAUGUGGUUUAAUUCGACGCAACGCGAAGAACCUUACCAGGUCUUGACAU
Molecule: ribosomal RNA, 487 nt
Filed under: uncultured bacterium
Lineage: Bacteria
Description: bacterial SSU rRNA
Rfam family: Bacterial small subunit ribosomal RNA
Source: RNAcentral